CUUCCGGCGCUGGCUCUCCCUGGCCUCUCUCUGUGCCACGCUGCCCCCACCACCCGUCCACAGACUGCCCAGCUCGGCCCGGUUGGAAGAAGUGUCAGGUCUUUGUCUGAAUCUGGAGAACAGCUGCCUUGGCUGGGUUCAGAGCUGGGAGGACAAAGUCCUGGAAUGGCGUGGACGGCCUGACUCCAGCAGGUAUCUGGAAGUAAAAACAACAAACAACCCCAAACAUCUCCCAGCGCCAGACUGAUAGCUCAGAUUUCUACCACAGACAUCAGUUCCGUGGUGGUAUUCUGCCCGUCCCUGUGAGAUCUGGGCUCGGACAAGCACUUUAAACCCAC
Molecule: long non-coding RNA, 338 nt
Filed under: Gorilla gorilla gorilla (western lowland gorilla)
Lineage: Eukaryota; Metazoa; Chordata; Mammalia; Primates; Hominidae
Description: lncRNA (ENSGGOG00000044699.1)
Source: RNAcentral